AUGGAAUUCUCAGGGGUGAACGUCCUUCAGCUUUUAGGCCGUGGCUGUUGGAACCGGGUUCUCCAGGGCCUGAAAGGCCUUUUCAGGACACAGGCCCACUGAGUCCUGGGAAGAGUAACUCACUGACCCGAAAGGAGUCUCUCUUAGGGAAGCUGUUGCCACUUGUUCCCCAGUCAAGGACAUUCCCACAGGGGAUUCAGUUUCUUCCCUGCCCGCCUCAGCUCACUUUCUCCCGGUGACUCCCUCACAGCC
Molecule: long non-coding RNA, 252 nt
Filed under: Fukomys damarensis (Damara mole-rat)
Lineage: Eukaryota; Metazoa; Chordata; Mammalia; Rodentia; Bathyergidae
Description: lncRNA (ENSFDAG00000030669.1)
Source: RNAcentral